CCCAUUAAAUCAGUUAUAGUUUAUUUGAUGGUCUCUUUGUUCUUCUUUUUACCUACUUGGAUAACCGUGGUAAUUCUAGAGCUAAUACAUGCGCAAGGUCCCAAGCGCGGAGAGUAGGGCUUCACGGCUUUAUUCUUGCAUGCGUAGCGGGAUGUAUUUAUUAGGUUAAAACCAGCGUAGCCAGCAAUGGCUACAAUCUCCUGGUGAUUCAUAGUAACUUUUUCGGAUCGCAUUCAUG
RNAcentral lists this ribosomal RNA (238 nucleotides) under uncultured Comandonia. Its description in RNAcentral is "partial 18S ribosomal RNA". It matches the Rfam family "Eukaryotic small subunit ribosomal RNA", at positions 99 to 279 of the family's 1831-position model. Lineage: Eukaryota; Discosea; Longamoebia; Acanthamoebidae. The record is from RNAcentral.